AAUUUUUUUUAAUCUAAUCGGUACCGCCCGCAACCGCAAACGCUUGUGGGAAAGAACUUUUGAAAUCUGGCGAUUUCGAGCAGUCCAAGGCGGUAUUUAGCGGUUUCUAUGAUUGGUUGCAAUCGCUAACAACCGCUACCACCCGCAAACGCAGCGUUUGCGGAUGGUAGAGGGAGAACCAAUCAAACCCUAAUUCUCGAGCAAUAAUUGAUACCUAUCUUGACAAAAAAAA
This 232-nucleotide small RNA is filed under the name Arabidopsis thaliana (thale cress). Its description in RNAcentral is "ATSL282100". Lineage: Eukaryota; Viridiplantae; Streptophyta; Magnoliopsida; Brassicales; Brassicaceae. The record is from RNAcentral.